UACGAAGGGGGCUAGCGUUGCUCGGAUUGACUGGGCGUAAAGGGCGCGUAGGCGGUUCGUACAGUCAGACGUGAAAUUCCUGGGCUCGAACCUGGGGGCUGCGUUUGAUACGUGCGGACUUGAGUGCGGAAGAGGGUCGUGGAAUUCCCAGUGUAGAGGUGAAAUUCGUAGAUAUUGGGAAGAACACCGGUGGCGAAGGCGGCGACCUGGUCCGAUACUGACGGCUGAGGCGCGAAAGCGUGGGGAGCAAACAGG
Molecule: ribosomal RNA, 255 nt
Filed under: uncultured bacterium
Lineage: Bacteria
Description: partial 16S ribosomal RNA
Rfam family: Bacterial small subunit ribosomal RNA
Source: RNAcentral